GCUGGGUGGAUUAGUGGCGAACGGGUGAGUAACACGUGAGUAACCUGCCCCUGACUCUGGGAUAAGCGUUGGAAACGACGUCUAAUACUGGAUAUGAUCACUGGCCGCAUGGUCUGGUGGUGGAAAGAUUUUUUGGUUGGGGAUGGACUCGCGGCCUAUCAGCUUGUUGGUGAGGUAAUGGCUCACCAAGGCGACGACGGGUAGCCGGCCUGAGAGGGUGACCGGCCACACUGGGACUGAGACACGGCCCAGACUCCUACGGGAGGCAGCAGUGGGGAAUAUUGCACAAUGGGCGAAAGCCUGAUGCAGCAACGCCGCGUGAGGGAUGACGGCCUUCGGGUUGUAAACCUCUUUUAGUAGGGAAGAAGCGAAAGUGACGGUACCUGCAGAAAAAGCACCGGCUAACUACGUGCCAGCAGCCGCGGUAAUACGUAGGGUGCAAGCGUUGUCCGGAAUUAUUGGGCGUAAAGAGCUCGUAGGCGGUUUGUCGCGUCUGCUGUGAAAUCCCGAGGCUCAACCUCGGGCUUGCAGUGGGUACGGGCAGACUAGAGUGCGGUAGGGGAGAUUGGAAUUCCUGGUGUAGCGGUGGAAUGCGCAGAUAUCAGGAGGAACACCGAUGGCGAAGGCAGAUCUCUGGGCCGUAACUGACGCUGAGGAGCGAAAGCAUGGGGAGCGAACAGGAUUAGAUACCCUGGUAGUCCAUGCCGUAAACGUUGGGCGCUAGAUGUAGGGACCUUUCCACGGUUUCUGUGUCGUAGCUAACGCAUUAAGCGCCCCGCCUGGGGAGUACGGCCGCAAGGCUAAAACUCAAAGGAAUUGACGGGGGCCCGCACAAGCGGCGGAGCAUGCGGAUUAAUUCGAUGCAACGCGAAGAACCUUACCAAGGCUUGACAUACACCGGAAACGGCCAGAGAUGGUCGCCCCCUUGUGGUCGGUGUACAGGUGGUGCAUGGUUGUCGUCAGCUCGUGUCGUGAGAUGUUGGGUUAAGUCCCGCAACGAGCGCAACCCUCGUUCUAUGUUGCCAGCGGGUUAUGCCGGGGACUCAUAGGAGACUGCCGGGGUCAACUCGGAGGAAGGUGGGGAUGACGUCAAAUCAUCAUGCCCCUUAUGUCUUGGGCUUCACGCAUGCUACAAUGGCCGGUACAAAGGGCUGCGAUACCGUAAGGUGGAGCGAAUCCCAAAAAGCCGGUCUCAGUUCGGAUUGAGGUCUGCAACUCGACCUCAUGAAGUCGGAGUCGCUAGUAAUCGCAGAUCAGCAACGCUGCGGUGAAUACGUUCCCGGGCCUUGUACACACCGCCCGUCAAGUCAUGAAAGUCGGUAACACCCGAAGCC
Molecule: ribosomal RNA, 1334 nt
Filed under: Curtobacterium sp.
Lineage: Bacteria; Bacillati; Actinomycetota; Actinomycetes; Micrococcales; Microbacteriaceae
Description: bacterial SSU rRNA
Rfam family: Bacterial small subunit ribosomal RNA
Source: RNAcentral